This 73-nucleotide transfer RNA is filed under the name Caudoviricetes sp. Its description in RNAcentral is "tRNA-Val". It matches the Rfam family "tRNA". From Rfam's summary of the family: Transfer RNA (tRNA) molecules are approximately 80 nucleotides in length. Their secondary structure includes four short double-helical elements and three loops (D, anti-codon, and T loops). The record is from RNAcentral. Lineage: Duplodnaviria; Heunggongvirae; Uroviricota; Caudoviricetes.
GGACGCUUAACUCAGCAGGGAGAGUGUUUGCCUUACAAGCAAAAGGUCGUAGAUUCGAGCCCUACAGCGUCUA